GACGAACGCUGGCGGCGUGCUUAACACAUGCAAGUCGAACGGUGAAGCGCCUUCCUUUUUGGUGGGUGUGGAUGAGUGGCGAACGGGUGAGUAACACGUGAGUAACCUGCCCCCUUCUUCUGGAUAACCGCAUGAAAGUGUGGCUAAUACGGGAUAUUCUGGGUCUGUCGCAUGAUGGGUCUGGGAAAGAUAUUGUUUCGGUGGGGGAUGGGCUCGCGGCCUAUCAGCUUGUUGGUGGGGUGAUGGCCUACCAAGGCGGUGACGGGUAGCCGGCCUGAGAGGGUGGACGGUCACUCUGGGACUGAGACACGGCCCAGACUCCUACGGGAGGCAGCAGUGGGGAAUAUUGCACAAUGGGCGCAAGCCUGAUGCAGCGACGCCGCGUGAGGGAUGGAGGCCUUCGGGUUGUGAACCUCUUUCGCCAGUGAAGCAGGCCUGCCUCGUUUGUGGGUGGGUUGACGGUAGCUGGAUAAGAAGCGCCGGCUAACUACGUG
RNAcentral lists this ribosomal RNA (494 nucleotides) under uncultured bacterium. RNAcentral's name for it is "partial 16S ribosomal RNA". It matches the Rfam family "Bacterial small subunit ribosomal RNA", at positions 28 to 507 of the family's 1533-position model. The record is from RNAcentral.